UGUUACAAAUUUAAACUAAUUCUGUGGGCUGAAUUGCAGGCGUCAUGAUAUUCAGAAAAGUGACUGUUAAGUACCCUCUUGUGGCAGGAGUGAGCAGCUGCAGCUUUUUUUUAUUUUUUUGUUUCUUGGAUUCACUUAGUCUCUGGAGAUUUGUGGUUAACUUUGAUCAUGUAACCUUGUAAACAUAAGUGAUCUUUUGUCUCUUAUUUGAAAAGCUCGAGGCUGGGUAAAUGAUAGGAUGUUAUGGCUUGCCCAAAGUAGGGUUUUUGAUAAGAUAACAUCCUAACACAUUUGAUAGGAUAACAUCCUCACACAUUUGAUAGGAUAACAUCCUCACACAUUUGAUAGAAUAACAUCCUCACACAUUUGAUAGGAUAGCAUCCUAACAUCCUAACACAUUGGGGAGGGCAACCAUCGGCGGGCCCUGACUGCAUGUGAGAAGACCUGUCACACUUGACCAGAGGUGAUGAAGGCUGGAGUGGAUUCCUGCAUCAGAAGACUCCAUGUUGGACACCACAACCUGAAGUAGUCCCGUCCUGGGUGGCUGUGACAAGGACCUUGCCCGAGGUAUUCGACCCUUCAGUGAUGACACCUCUUUGCCACAGGAUGUCUUCAGAUGUUGGACCUUAAGGAUCAGAGUCUAUCAAAUUGUACACAUGCCUCAAUGGCUGUGACGUCACUCUGCUCAACAGGACAUGGUCACAUUUUCUUUUAAAUGAACUUUACCACCUAAAGCCUUAGACUCAUCCAACCCAGAACCCACUGACUCACAACCACACAUCACAGCACUGUACAUGGAUAAUGUUAUGAAAUGGUUUAUAUUUGGCAUUUGUUGACAUGUUUUUGAUAUCUUUUUAAGUCAUAAACAGUUUUUCCACAUUGUAUGCACUACUAUUAGCCUUUAAAGUUUCAUCCAUCACCAACUAAACUGAAAUUCAACAUUAAAGCUGACUUGUCUCACUCUGCCAAGUUUAGUUCCAAAUAAAGACUCAAAUUGAACCUUUCUGUGUUCAUAAAACCUUUUUGCGCGUCAUGUUGGGAGGCCUCCCAGCAGGGGAUUUCUAUAUUCCCCUGCAAAACCGCGCGUUACUCGUAGAAAUGUAGGGAUAUCUUGGACAGUUUCAUACAUGGAAUUGUCCUCAUUGAGUAGGUUGCAGGAUUAGA
Molecule: long non-coding RNA, 1164 nt
Organism: Solea senegalensis (Senegalese sole)
Lineage: Eukaryota; Metazoa; Chordata; Actinopteri; Pleuronectiformes; Soleidae
Exons: 3
Source: RefSeq, a predicted model, not a curated record